Molecule: unclassified non-coding RNA, 106 nt
Filed under: plant metagenome
Description: partial contains 5.8S ribosomal RNA, internal transcribed spacer 2, and large subunit ribosomal RNA
Source: RNAcentral
GACGAUUCCCGGCAGCGUGGCAACGUUCGCCACCUGCUCCAGCGAGCAAUCCGCAGUCACGUCCGGCAACAGUGUCUUUGACGCCAGCACGACCCCGGGGACCCGC